Molecule: ribosomal RNA, 450 nt
Filed under: uncultured bacterium
Lineage: Bacteria
Description: partial 16S ribosomal RNA
Rfam family: Bacterial small subunit ribosomal RNA
Source: RNAcentral
UUGGGGAAUAUUGGACAAUGGGCGAAAGCCUGAUCCAGCCAUGCCGCGUGUGUGAAGAAGGUCUUCGGAUUGUAAAGCACUUUAAGUUGGGAGGAAGGGCAGUAAGUUAAUACCUUGCUGUUUUGACGUUACCGACAGAAUAAGCACCGGCUAACUUCGUGCCAGCAGCCGCGGUAAUACGAAGGGUGCAAGCGUUAAUCGGAAUUACUGGGCGUAAAGCGCGCGUAGGUGGUUUUGUAAGUUGGAGGUGAAAUCCCCGGGCUCAACCUGGGAACUGCCUCCAAAACUGCAUGACUAGAGUACGGUAGAGGGUAGUGGAAUUUCCUGUGUAGCGGUGAAAUGCGUAGAUAUAGGAAGGAACACCAGUGGCGAAGGCGACUACCUGGACUGAUACUGACACUGAGGUGCGAAAGCGUGGGGAGCAAACAGGAUUAGAAACCCCAGUAGUCC